AACGGAGCUUUUAGCUUUUUCGAAAGCUUAGUGGCGAAAGGGUGAGUAACASGUGGGUAACCUGGCCUUGGGUUUGGGAUAACCUAUCGAAAGAUGGGCUAAUACCGGAUACGUUCCAUUACUACUUGUAGUGGAGGAAAGAUGGGGAUUCGUAAGAACCUAUCACCCUUGGAUGGGCUCGSGGCCUAUCAGCUUGUUGGUGAGGUAAUGGCUCACCAAGGCUAAGACGGGUAGCUGGUCUGAGAGGAUGGUCAGCCACACUGGGACUGAGACACUGCCCAGACACCUACGGGUGGGUGCAGUCGAGAAUCUUUCGCAAUGGGGGAAACCCUGACGAAGCGACGCCGCGUGGAGGAUGACGGCCUUCGGGUUGUAAACUGCUGUCAGCUGGGAAGAAAAAGUUGUCGACGAAUACUCGGCAGCUCUGACGGUACCAGCAGAGGAAGCCACGGCUAACUCUGUGCCAGCAGCCGCGGUAAUACAGAGGUGGCAAGCGUUGUUCGGAUUUAUUGGGCGUAAAGGGUCCGUAGGCGAAUUGGAAAGUCGGGUGUGAAAUCCUACAGCUCAACUGUGGAACUGCAUUCGAAACCCCCAAUCUGGAGUGUGAGAGGGGUGAAGGGAAUUCCCGGUGUAAGGGUGAAAUCUGCAGAGAUCGGGAAGAACACCCAGUCGCGAAGGCGCUUCACUGGCUCACUACUGACGCUGAGGGACGAAAGCUAGGGUAGCCAACGGGAUUAGAUACCCCGGUAGUCCUAGCCGUAAACGAUGAUCACUAGGUGUUGGGGGGGUUAA
This 792-nucleotide ribosomal RNA is filed under the name uncultured deep-sea bacterium. Its description in RNAcentral is "bacterial SSU rRNA". It matches the Rfam family "Bacterial small subunit ribosomal RNA", at positions 65 to 835 of the family's 1533-position model. The record is from RNAcentral.